AUGCUAUUGGAGCUUGAGGAGAGAAGAGGCCCUCUUGCGCUCCUCCCCCGCCGCACGCCCUCUCCAGAUCUUGUACGGGAGAGGCGGAAACAUCAUGCAUUUGGGUACGGUAAUUUAUUUACUGUUUUCCAGUGUUUCAGCCCACCGAUUGGUAGGUGGACACAUGUGUGUGCUGAUUGUUUUCUUCUUACCAGGUCACAGGCCACGGGUCAACAUGCCCCCGCCAUCAAGAAGAACCUCGUUAGUGGCUCCCUUCUAUGUAGAGAAGGGUUUAAGUUGGUCUUUGAGUCUAAUAAAUUAAUUGUUACUAAAUAUGAACUAUUUGUUGAAAAAUGUUAUGAGAGCGGAGGGAUGUUCCGCUUUCCCCUUGCAGAAUUUUGUAAUAAAGUCGUGAACCAUAUUCAUUCGAGUGUU
This 414-nucleotide ribosomal RNA is filed under the name Triticum aestivum (bread wheat). RNAcentral describes it as "partial small subunit ribosomal RNA". The record is from RNAcentral. Lineage: Eukaryota; Viridiplantae; Streptophyta; Magnoliopsida; Poales; Poaceae.